UGGGGAGUAUUGGACAAUGGGGGCAACCCUGAUCCAGCAAUGCCGCGUGAGUGAUGAAGGCCUUAGGGUUGUAAAGCUCUUUCGACGGGGAAGAUGAUGACGGUACCCGUAGAAGAAGCCCCGGCUAACUUCGUGCCAGCAGCCGCGGUAAUACGAAGGGGGCUAGCGUUGUUCGGAUUUACUGGGCGUAAAGGGCGCGUAGGCGGUGCAAUAAGUCAGGCGUGAAAGCCCCGGGCUCAACCCGGGAAUUGCGCUUGAUACUGUUGCGCUUGAAUCCAGGAGAGGAUGGCGGAAUUCCCAGUGUAGAGGUGAAAUUCGUAGAUAUUGGGAAGAACACCAGUGGCGAAGGCGGCCAUCUGGCCUGGAAUUGACGCUGAGGCGCGAAAGCGUGGGGAGCAAACAGG
Molecule: ribosomal RNA, 404 nt
Filed under: uncultured bacterium
Lineage: Bacteria
Description: bacterial SSU rRNA
Rfam family: Bacterial small subunit ribosomal RNA
Source: RNAcentral